AUUGAACGCUGGCGGCAUGCCUUACACAUGCAAGUCGAACGGCAGCACGGGUGCUUGCACCUGGUGGCGAGUGGCGAACGGGUGAGUAAUACAUCGGAACAUGUCCUGUAGUGGGGGAUAGCCCGGCGAAAGCCGGAUUAAUACCGCAUACGAUCUACGGAUGAAAGCGGGGGACCUUCGGGCCUCGCGCUAUAGGGUUGGCCGAUGGCUGAUUAGCUAGUUGGUGGGGUAAAGGCCUACCAAGGCGACGAUCAGUAGCUGGUCUGAGAGGACGACCAGCCACACUGGGACUGAGACACGGCCCAGACUCCUACGGUAGGCAGCAGUGGGGAAUUUUGGACAAUGGGCGAAAGCCUGAUCCAGCAAUGCCGCGUGUGUGAAGAAGGCCUUCGGGUUGUAAAGCACUUUUGUCCGGAAAGAAAUCCUUGGCCCUAAUACGGUCGGGGGAUGACGGUACCGGAAGAAUAAGCACCGGCUAACUACGUG
RNAcentral lists this ribosomal RNA (486 nucleotides) under uncultured bacterium. RNAcentral describes it as "partial 16S ribosomal RNA". It matches the Rfam family "Bacterial small subunit ribosomal RNA", at positions 30 to 507 of the family's 1533-position model. The record is from RNAcentral.